AUUGAACGCUGGCGGCAUGCUUUACACAUGCAAGUCGAACGGUAACAGGCCUCUGGCUGCUGACGAGUGGCGCACGGGUGUGUAAUGCGCCGGAACGUGUCCAGAGGUGGGGGGUAACGCAGCGAAAGCUGUGCUAAAAUCCCACGUGAUCUGUGGAGGAGAGCGGGGGACAUGGCCGGAAUGCUUGGCCUCGCGCCUUUGGAGCGGCCGAUGUCGGAUUAGGUAGUUGGUGGGGUAAAGGCCUACCAAGCCGACGAUCUGUAACUGGUCUGAGAGGACGAUCAGCCACACUGGAACUGAGACACGGCCCAGACUCCUACGGGAGGCAGCAGUGGGGAAUUUUGGACAAUGGGCGCAAGCCUGAUCCAGCAAUGCCGCGUGCGGGAAGAAGGCCUUCGGGUUGUAAAGCACUUUUGGACGGGAGGAAAAGGAUCUGGCUAAUACCUGGCGCUGAUGACGGUACCGAAAGAAUAAGCACCGGCUAACUACGUG
This 492-nucleotide ribosomal RNA is filed under the name uncultured bacterium. RNAcentral describes it as "partial 16S ribosomal RNA". It matches the Rfam family "Bacterial small subunit ribosomal RNA", at positions 29 to 507 of the family's 1533-position model. The record is from RNAcentral.